CGGACGGAACUUCAGAAUCGCCAUGAGAGCUGCCAGACACUCUUUCUCUGUCACAGAGUAGUUUAUCUGGUGACAAUUUAGCUUCGCCGAGAAGAAUGCAAUCGGCCUCUCGUUCUGCUCAUCAUCGCGUUGGAAGAGUACGGCUCCUACCCCAUAAUGCGACGCGUCGCACUGGAUGUAAAAGUGCCGCUUGAAAUCUGCGUGUACGAGGACAGGUGCAGAGGCAUCUGUAAGUGGAACGGCUAACUCUGCAAAGUUCUUCAUAAAACGCCGAUACCAACCCGCAGUACCCAAGAAACUACGCAAUUCUCGGACAGAUCGUGGCUCGGGAAUGCGUAAAAUAGCCGAUACACGAUCUGGAUCCAUCUUGAGCGUUCCUCCUCCCACUAUAAAACCGAGUCGCUCUGCAACCUGUAGAAGGA
Molecule: long non-coding RNA, 422 nt
Organism: Drosophila obscura
Lineage: Eukaryota; Metazoa; Arthropoda; Insecta; Diptera; Drosophilidae
Exons: 3
Source: RefSeq, a predicted model, not a curated record